Molecule: long non-coding RNA, 1230 nt
Filed under: Bemisia tabaci
Lineage: Eukaryota; Metazoa; Arthropoda; Insecta; Hemiptera; Aleyrodidae
Description: lncRNA ENSASIAIIG004966
Source: RNAcentral
UAGAUAAGCAGAUUGACUCGACCGUGCAUAAAAAGUAUAGGGAUGGGAAUAAGAUUACUUUUCUAUCUCACUUCAUUUCGACAGACAUCAACCGUAAUGUACUGCCCGUCACCUCCAAACGUGACCUCCUACAGUAUCCACCAUUCAUGCCAAGAAUAAGCGUGAACCUUUCCAUUUUUUGAAACCGCAGCUCGACCAACAAACCAGUCUUUACUCUCAUCAUGCAACUAUGGCAACCCACUGUGCAUAAUUUCCCCAUUUAGUUCACAGAACCAACGGAGUUGAAGGACCCGCUCAUCAGAAUUGGUCCAGGAUCUCAAUUUGUACCUGGCGUAUCUUCCGAAAAAACUGACGGCCUGCUUACACGAAUGCAUUCUGAGAAACGCCAACGUGCCAAGCAAUCGUGGUCCCUCGGACUCGUAGUAGGUUAGAGGAACCAAGAAUCAGGCAUUUUGUGCCCUUUGAAAUUCUCAGUUAACCGAUCAUUUCUACAAAAAAAAUGGAGACAGGAAUGGGACAAGUGCGUCGAAUUUGGAAGACUCUGAGAGUAAUUAGUCCACACACCUCACGUGACCUUUGAAGAAGAUGACUGGGACUGGUUAUUUGAUUUGAAACGAUCAGUUUGAACUAAUGUCCAUAAUCUGAUGCACUUGGAGUCGCUGGUCUUGACUUUCACUGCAAUGUUAAAACCGAUAAAUCACGUUUUAAGGAUUUCCGACGUGGUGAAAGUUCCAAAGCCGAUAUAUGCACAAUUUGUUCGUACAAUACACGAGUGCCAUAAGCAAAGGAAGCAAAGCAUUGAUUCGCGACCAAUCAAAACAGAAUCUGCUGGAGAUGUAGCAACGACAUAAAAGCACAAAAGAACUGGAUCAUACCUUAAAUUCACGGAGACUCCUUUCCUGCAUGUACGUAACUACACGAAAUAUAGACAUUGGUCUGAAACAAAAAAUGAAAGAAAAUUGUUUAAUUGACCUGAUUUUAGUGAUGUAGAAGAUUAACCAACUUAAAACAAAUAAUAAAGUUAUGUUGAUCCAAAAAAAAUAUUAUGAAUGAGAUGUACUUGAUUAGCACACGACACGUACGAGACCAAGUCGCGAGUCUGCCAAAAAUGUUUCAUUCUUAAAACAAAGAUAAAACCAUAAGAAAAAAAAAACGCUGGGGCUUUAGGAGUUAGUUUUGAUAUAAUUCUUAGCGAUUAGUCUAGACAUUGUCAUAGUUUUUGCACUUAAG